GAUGAAGCCCACUUGUGGGUGGAUUAGUGGCGAACGGGUGAGUAACACGUGAGUAACCUGCCCUUGACUCUGGGAUAAGCCUGGGAAACUGGGUCUAAUACCGGAUAUGACUGAUCAUCGCAUGGUGGUUGGUGGAAAGCUUUUUGUGGUUUUGGAUGGACUCGCGGCCUAUCAGCUUGUUGGUGAGGUAAUGGCUUACCAAGGCGACGACGGGUAGCCGGCCUGAGAGGGUGACCGGCCACACUGGGACUGAGACACGGCCCAGACUCCUACGGGAGGCAGCAGUGGGGAAUAUUGCACAAUGGGCGCAAGCCUGAUGCAGCGACGCCGCGUGAGGGAUGACGGCCUUCGGGUUGUAAACCUCUUUCAGUAGGGAAGAAGCGAAAGUGACGGUACCUGCAGAAGAAGCGCCGGCUAACUACGUGCCAGCAGCCGCGGUAAUACGUAGGGCGCAAGCGUUAUCCGGAAUUAUUGGGCGUAAAGAGCUCGUAGGCGGUUUGUCGCGUCUGCCGUGAAAGUCCGGGGCUCAACUCCGGAUCUGCGGUGGGUACGGGCAGACUAGAGUGAUGUAGGGGAGACUGGAAUUCCUGGUGUAGCGGUGAAAUGCGCAGAUAUCAGGAGGAACACCGAUGGCGAAGGCAGGUCUCUGGGCAUUAACUGACGCUGAGGAGCGAAAGCAUGGGGAGCGAACAGGAUUAGAUACCCUGGUAGUCCAUGCCGUAAACGUUGGGCACUACGUGUGGGGGACAUUCCACGUUUUCCGCGCCGUAGCU
This 773-nucleotide ribosomal RNA is filed under the name Pseudarthrobacter sp. RNAcentral's name for it is "bacterial SSU rRNA". It matches the Rfam family "Bacterial small subunit ribosomal RNA", at positions 68 to 853 of the family's 1533-position model. The record is from RNAcentral. Lineage: Bacteria; Bacillati; Actinomycetota; Actinomycetes; Micrococcales; Micrococcaceae.